UACAGAGGUCUCAAGCGUUGUUCGGAUUCAUUGGGCGUAAAGGGUGCGUAGGUGGCGUGGUAAGUCGGGUGUGAAAUUUCGGAGCUUAACUCCGAAACUGCAUUCGAUACUGCUGUGCUUGAGGACUGGAGAGGAGACUGGAAUUUACGGUGUAGCGGUGAAAUGCGUAGAUAUCGUAAGGAAGACCAGUGGCGAAGGCGGGUCUCUGGACAGUUCCUGACGCUGAGGCACGAAGGCCGGGGGAGCAAACGGG
This 253-nucleotide ribosomal RNA is filed under the name uncultured bacterium. Its description in RNAcentral is "partial 16S ribosomal RNA". It matches the Rfam family "Bacterial small subunit ribosomal RNA", at positions 524 to 776 of the family's 1533-position model. The record is from RNAcentral.